This 253-nucleotide ribosomal RNA is filed under the name uncultured bacterium. RNAcentral describes it as "partial 16S ribosomal RNA". It matches the Rfam family "Bacterial small subunit ribosomal RNA", at positions 524 to 776 of the family's 1533-position model. The record is from RNAcentral.
UACGAAGGGUGCAAACGUUGCUCGGAAUCAUUGGGCGUAAAGCGCACGUAGGCGGCUCCAAAAGUCGGAUGUGAAAUCCCUGGGCUCAACCGAGGAAGUGCAUCCGAAACUGCGGAGCUUGAGUAUGGAAGAGGGUCGCGGAAUUCCCGGUGUAGGGGUGAAAUUCGUAGAUAUCGGGAGGAACACCAGUGGCGAAGGCGGCGACCUGGGCCAAUACUGACGUUGAGGUGCGAAAGCGUGGGGAGCAAACAGG